UAUUUAAAAUACCGCCAAAAGGUCCUGGAUAGAAUUAAGCGCCUAUUGGUAGCAGAAUACAUACUCACGUAAAUAUAUUAAAUGAAGUUUCGAUAUAGAGAUAUAGAUGAAUUAAUUGCAGAAAUUGAAAUAAAAGUCUCAAAUAUAAGAAGGAGGUCGAUUUCAGUUUAAGCACAAUUACAGUUGUCAUUUUUCAUAGUUUGCAGAUAUGGACGGUUGCAGCUCGGAUAUUGUUUGUGGAUAAUGUUAGAAAACAUUUCGUUCACGGACAGGUCUUAAUGACCAUUUAAACUGGCUACUCGGCACAGGACCUUGUAAACGUUGUUGCAAAUCGAACUGUCACAGAUCCUGGUCCUGGCUGAAAUUGAGAGUAUUGCAGCUGUAGUUUGUAUACCAUACAUUUCACAUGAAAAGGACUGUCAGGAUGCUGCAUACAAUGGUCUUAGCUAGAGCCUAGAAUGAAUAUUUCUUAGGAAUAUGCUGCAAGUAACUGAAGGGGAGCAGUUUUUCUUACCUAUCAUAGGUGAGACUUCUAAAUAGCUUCUUUUAAAAAGGUUUUUGCUGUUUAAUGUACAUAAUUUGCUGUCAAUAUGAAACUUCAGCUGUAUCUUAAUUUCUAUGCUGUUUUAUUAUGUAAAUCUUAGAGAUAAUCAUUUUAAGAUAAAACAUAUCACUAAGUUGAUUAAUUAUAUAUAUAUUUAAGAUUGACCAAGUCACUUUUAAUAAGUAACUUCUUAUUUUAUUUGCAGUAGCAGUAAGAAACAGCCAACGAAGUAUUCAAACACCAUAUGAAACACUUAAGACAUACCAGGAGAGAUCUAGAAGAAGUACUAGUAGUAGAGUGGAACAGAUUGUAGCUUAAUUCUAGCUAAAAGGACUUCUUAAAUCGUUAAAAUUAAAGCUGCACUUAAACUGUCUUUUUUUGUUAAACAGUUAUACUCCGAACAUAAAUCCAACGUUAUUUCAACGUUAAAAUCUGACCACAAUUCAACGUUGUUCAACGUUUAUGUGCCUGCUGGUUUAAUUCUAUCCAGGACCUAUUGGCGGUAUUUUGAAUAUUAUUCAAAAUUAUUUGAAAGUCUGAGGCUAAAUGCAUCAAUCAUGAUUUGUUAAAUCAAUAUCUAGGCUAAAACCUGCAUAUAUAUUGCUUGCACAUUAAAUAUUGCGUGGGAGUUAUCAACAAUAAAAGUUUGCGUGGCCGUUACCCAAAUCAUUUUUCUCUUGUGUGUUGGAAUAGAAAAUGACCAGUCAACAUUUAACAUGCCUAAUAUUUACAUUUUCCAAUAAAGAACUUCUAUGAACAUUUUCUCUUUGCUAACUCUACGUAGUUUAAUCAAAUUCAUAAAAAAUACAAAGAUUGCGUGAAUGUUACCCGAAAAAUAAUUGUCAACAUUGAAAAUUCCUGUUGAAUUUUUGAGUGUUUGUAAAAGCUAUGAGCACAGGGGUGGAAAAUAAGGUAUAGGCGGCAACAAUUCUUUAUUCCGCGUAGGCUGCAACAGGUCUCGUAUGUAAGUAAAAGGGAUAUAAUAAAGAAUUACCUGAAAAACACAUGUGAAGCGAGGUUUUUAGGCCGCCAUAUUGUCUGUACGCGUAACCGUAAAAGUCACGUGAUUCCCUACCGUGUUUCUGCCGCCAUAUUUCUUGUUUUCGUUGCAAUCGGAACUCCUCCGCGAUUAUUCAUAAUUGUGUUUUACGAAAAAAGCCAGAUUGUGUUCCGUUGUCGCCAAUUAGUUUGACGGAAAGAGCCGAAAACUUUUAUAGUCUGUCAAUCGCAACUACUCGGCCCUUUCCGUCAGUCUUCGGAUAAGGGAUCGCUCCGCCCACUGAUUCACGUGACCCGGUCAGUAAGUAUUCGCAAAACUGUUAUG
Ruditapes philippinarum (Manila clam) is the source of this 1868-nucleotide long non-coding RNA. RefSeq lists it as uncharacterized. The record is from RefSeq and is a predicted model, not a curated record. The transcript has 3 exons. Lineage: Eukaryota; Metazoa; Mollusca; Bivalvia; Venerida; Veneridae.